AUUCAGCCAACGAGUCCCAAAUAAGACGAAACACGCGUCCUAGAU
This 45-nucleotide non-coding RNA is filed under the name Schistosoma curassoni. The record is from RNAcentral. Lineage: Eukaryota; Metazoa; Platyhelminthes; Trematoda; Strigeidida; Schistosomatidae.